AACGAACGCUGGCGGCAUGCCUAACACAUGCAAGUCGAACGAACCCUUCGGGGUUAGUGGCGCACGGGUGCGUAACGCGUGGGGAUCUGCCCUUUGCUUCGGAAUAACAGUUAGAAAUGACUGCUAAUACCGGAUGAUGUCGCAAGACCAAAGAUUUAUCGGCAAAGGAUGAACCCGCGUAGGAUUAGCUAGUUGGUGAGGUAAAGGCUCACCAAGGCGACGAUCCUUAGCUGGUCUGAGAGGAUGAUCAGCCACACUGGGACUGAGACACGGCCCAGACUCCUACGGGAGGCAGCAGUGGGGAAUAUUGGACAAUGGGCGAAAGCCUGAUCCAGCAAUGCCGCGUGAGUGAUGAAGGCCCUAGGGUUGUAAAGCUCUUUUACCAGGGAUGAUAAUGACAGUACCUGGAGAAUAAGCUCCGGUUAACUUCGUGCCAGCCGCCGCGGUAA
RNAcentral lists this ribosomal RNA (449 nucleotides) under uncultured bacterium. RNAcentral describes it as "partial 16S ribosomal RNA". It matches the Rfam family "Bacterial small subunit ribosomal RNA", at positions 29 to 523 of the family's 1533-position model. The record is from RNAcentral.